AUUAAAUGUCUGUAUGAUAAUCAGAUACCAGGACUGUCGUACAUGCUACAAAUUCUCAGUCUCAGAAUGACAACUUUAAUAUUAUGAACACAAUGAGCAGACAAUCUGACAUGUUCGUAGGGCAUACAAUGAAUGGAUAGAGAGAGGCUAUAUUCAAGCUUCACUAAAGAGUACUGAGGACAAAAUAGAAACCCCUCAAUGUGUGUGCCUAGGAUAAACUUAAAGGAAAUAUUUAUAAAAUCUGAAAUUCUGCCAAUGUGUGUAUAUAUAAAAACAAAGAAACCCCACAUCAUUAGAUGACCGUUAAGACACCUUUUAUCUAUAGUUUAACCCCUUAAGGACACAUGACGUGUGACAUGUCAUGAUUCCCUUUUAUUACAGAAGUUUGGUCCUUAAGGGGUUAAAGGAGAACAGUAAUUUCUUGGAAACUUACACCAUUUAAAUCGGCAAAAAAAAAAAAAAUCACUGUUCAUAGGGUAUACCUCCAAUGCAUAAGUUUUUCAUAGAGGUAUUCAUUGUGGGAAUGUAUUUAUUUUGUUUUUCAUUCUGUAUUCAUUGGGGGUAUAUCUUAAAAGAGCUUGCUAAGGCUGCAAUUCUUAUGAUCUGCAGCCUUUGCAAGCUCUUCCAUUUUCUACAUGUGUUCUCUACAUUGCUGACUGCCAUAUGUGAAGGACAUAGUUAAUAACAAUGACUGGCUGAAGGCUAAGAUGGAGACACCCAGGUGUCACACCUUAAACAUUUUUGAUAAAUAUAGGAAUACAUAAACCUCUAAUUUUAAAACCAUGGGAAGUGUCUUUUAAUUUAAGGGCUGACAACCCUGACAUGUAGGAGAUGAAGGUUCUUUAUGGUUUCAUGUCACCUCACCAUAUAGGACCGUAAAGUCCUAUAGUGUUCACACCUUGAGCAGUAUUUUUAGAGUGAAAUAAAGUGUAAUUUUCUCACUUGUUGCCAAUUGCAAAUAGAGUGCCAUAAUCAAACACUUUAGGUAUCUAGAUAGAAAUCCUACUUAUGGGAGUAGGUGUCUACUGGCUUUGAGUAAGCAGAUGAAAACACUAAAGAGGUUUACUACAAAUGCCAAACAUUUGCCAUCAAGUUCUUUUGUUAUUGACUCAAAUUUCACCGUUGCGGUUUUAGCCACUGAGGAAUAGCCCAGAUUAUAAAUCUUUAUUCAUCAUUUUGGGUUAGCACUUUUUACAUUUAUAGUAAGGUUACACGGUCCAGUGAUGAACAAAAUGUGUAAAGUUUUAAAGUAUCUGAUUCUGCAUGUAAAUAUGUGAGUAAUUAAAAUGUAAAAAUGUUAAGUAAGACUAGUUAUAAAUCUGUAACAUUGGAAUUUAUGUUUGGUGUAAAUGUUUGUAUGUUGUGCUAGCAAAGUUGCAAGCAAAUAUUACACUGUGAAUGGUAAUACUAUUAAAAUAAAUCAAUAAGCCAUGUUGAUCUACCUGUGCUGCUUUUGAUAGCAAGAUUUUCUUAAAUAAUGUGCAUGAUGAAUUGUAGGUAUGUGUUCUACAGUUAUUUACAAAGGCCUCAUACAGACUGUUCUUACAUUGUUAUGCUGUAAAACAUGUUUAAGGCACAAAAUAAUUAUUUACCCAAAUACUGCCAUUAGAUGCCUUUUUGUUUGUUUUUUGCUAUGCUUCUGUUAACAAAUUUAAAAAAAAA
Non-coding RNA from Pelobates cultripes (western spadefoot toad), 1662 nucleotides. Lineage: Eukaryota; Metazoa; Chordata; Amphibia; Anura; Pelobatidae. The record is from the annotation of a GenBank genome assembly.